RNAcentral lists this ribosomal RNA (829 nucleotides) under uncultured organism. Its description in RNAcentral is "bacterial SSU rRNA". It matches the Rfam family "Bacterial small subunit ribosomal RNA", at positions 61 to 882 of the family's 1533-position model. The record is from RNAcentral.
GUCGAACGGCAGCAUGGGUGCUUGCACCUGAUGGCGAGUGGCGAACGGGUGAGUAACAUAUCGGAACAUGUCCGGAAGUGGGGGAUAACGUACCGAAAGGUACGCUAAUACCGCAUAUGCCCUGAGGGGGAAAGGGGGGGAUCGAAAGACCUCUCGCUUUCGGAGUGGCCGAUAUCGGAUUAGCUAGAUGGUGAGGUAAAGGCUCACCAUGGCGACGAUCCGUAGCUGGUCUGAGAGGACGACCAGCCACACUGGAACUGAGACACGGUCCAGACUCCUACGGGAGGCAGCAGUGGGGAAUUUUGGACAAUGGGGGCAACCCUGAUCCAGCCAUACCGCGUGAGUGAAGAAGGCCUUCGGGUUGUAAAGCUCUUUCAGCCGGAAAGAAAACGUGCGGGUUAAUAACCCGUAUGGAUGACGGUACCGGAAGAAGAAGCACCGGCUAACUACGUGCCAGCAGCCGCGGUAAUACGUAGGGUGCGAGCGUUAAUCGGAAUUACUGGGCGUAAAGCGUGCGCAGGCGGCUUUUUAAGCCAGAUGUGAAAUCCCCGGGCUCAACCUGGGAACUGCAUUUGGAACUGGAAGGCUAGAGUGUAGCAGAGGGGGGUAGAAUUCCACGUGUAGCAGUGAAAUGCGUAGAUAUGUGGAGGAAUACCGAUGGCGAAGGCAGCCCCCUGGGCUAACACUGACGCUCAUGCACGAAAGCGUGGGGAGCAAACAGGAUUAGAUACCCUGGUAGUCCACGCCCUAAACGAUGUCAACUAGGUGUUGGGGAAGGAGACUUCUUUAGUACCGUAGCUAACGCGUGAAGUUGACCGCCUGGGGAGUA